RNAcentral lists this ribosomal RNA (253 nucleotides) under uncultured bacterium. RNAcentral describes it as "partial 16S ribosomal RNA". It matches the Rfam family "Bacterial small subunit ribosomal RNA", at positions 524 to 776 of the family's 1533-position model. The record is from RNAcentral.
UACAGAGGUCCCAAGCGUUGUUCGGAUUCACUGGGCGUAAAGGGUGCGCAGGUGGGUUGGCAAGUUUGAUGUGAAAGCCCCGGGCUUAACCCGGGAAUGGCAUUGAAUACUGCUGAUCUGGAGGAUUGGAGGGGGGACUGGAAUUCUUGGUGUAGCAGUGAAAUGCGUAGAUAUCAAGAGGAACACCAGUGGCGAAGGCGGAACUCUGGGCCGGAACUGACGCUGAGGAGCGAAAGCGUGGGGAGCGAACAGG